GUCGAACGCGAAAGCCCCGCAAGGGGUAAGUAGAGUGGCAAACGGGUGAGUAACACGUGGGUGACCUGCCUUCGAGUGGGGGAUAACGUCCCGAAAGGGACGCUAAUACCGCAUGACAUCCUGCUCUUGGACGAGCGGAGAUCAAAGCUAGGGAUCGCAAGACCUGGCGCUUGAAGAGGGGCCCGCGCCUGAUUAGCUAGUUGGUGGGGUAACGGCCUACCAAGGCAACGAUCAGUAGCCGGCCUGAGAGGGCGGACGGCCACACUGGGACUGUGACACGGCCCAGACUCCUACGGGAGGCAGCAGUGGGGAAUUGUUCGCAAUGGGCGCAAGCCUGACGACGCAACGCCGCGUGGAGGACGAAGAUCUUCGGGUCGUAAACUCCUGUCGAGCGGGAAGAACACCCACCCGGUGAACAAUCGGGAGGGCUGACGGUACCGCUAAAGGAAGCCCCGGCUAACUCCGUGCCAGCAGCCGCGGUAAUACGGGGGGGGCAAGCGUUGUUCGGAAUUACUGGGCGUAAAGGGCGCGUAGGCGGCCAACUAAGUCGGAUGUGAAAUCCCCAGGCUUAACCUGGGAACUGCAUCCGAUACUGGUCGGCUUGAAUCCGGGAGAGGGAUGCAGAAUUCCAGGUGUAGCGGUGAAAUGCGUAGAUAUCUGGAGGAAUACCGGUGGCGAAGGCGGCAUCCUGGACCGGCAUUGACGCUGAUGUGCGAAAGCUAGGGGAGCAAACGGGAUUAGAU
RNAcentral lists this ribosomal RNA (743 nucleotides) under uncultured Pseudomonadota bacterium. RNAcentral's name for it is "bacterial SSU rRNA". It matches the Rfam family "Bacterial small subunit ribosomal RNA", at positions 61 to 783 of the family's 1533-position model. Lineage: Bacteria; Pseudomonadati; Pseudomonadota. The record is from RNAcentral.